AAUGAGUACAAUUCAAACCCUUUAACGAGGAUCUACGAGAGGGCAAGUCUGGUGCCAGCAGCCGCGGUAAUUCCAGCUCUCGAAGUGUAUAUCAUUGUUGUUGCGGUUAAAAAGCUCGUAGUUGGAUCUGCGUCUUUGGAGCCGGUCUUCCCAACGGGACAGCACUGGUCUCCUGGACUAAAAUGGCUGGUUUUGCCUUGGUGCUCUUAACUGGGUGCCUUGGCUGACUAGCAAGUUUACUUUGAAAAAAUUAGAGUGCUCAAAACAAGCGUUUGCUUGAAUACUGGUGCAUGGAAUAAUGGAAUAGGAUCUCGGUUCUAUUUUGUUGGUUUUCGGAACGUGAGAUAAUGAUUAAGAGGAACAGACGGGGGCAUUCGUAUUGCAGCGCUAGAGGUGAAAUUCUUGGACCGCUGCAAGACGAACAACUGCGAA
Molecule: ribosomal RNA, 432 nt
Filed under: Parodontophora fluviatilis
Lineage: Eukaryota; Metazoa; Nematoda; Chromadorea; Araeolaimida; Axonolaimidae
Description: SSU rRNA
Rfam family: Eukaryotic small subunit ribosomal RNA
Source: RNAcentral